GACGAACGCNGGCGGCGUGCUUAACACAUGCAAGUCGAACGAAGAGCGAUGGAAGCUUGCUUCUAUCAAUCUUAGUGGCGAACGGGUGAGUAACGCGUAAUCAACCUGCCCUUCAGAGGGGGACAACAGUUGGAAACGACUGCUAAUACCGCAUACGAUCUAACCUCGGCAUCGAGGAUAGAUGAAAGGUGGCCUCUACAUGUAAGCUAUCACUGAAGGAGGGGAUUGCGUCUGAUUAGCUAGUUGGAGGGGUAACGGCCCACCAAGGCGAUGAUCAGUAGCCGGUCUGAGAGGAUGAACGGCCACAUUGGGACUGAGACACGGCCCAGACUCCUACGGGAGGCAGCAGUGGGGAAUCUUCCGCAAUGGACGAAAGUCUGACGGAGCAACGCCGCGUGAGUGAUGACGGCCUUCGGGUUGUAAAGCUCUGUUAAUCGGGACGAAAGGCCUUCUUGCGAAUAGUUAGAAGGAUGACG
Molecule: ribosomal RNA, 476 nt
Filed under: uncultured bacterium
Lineage: Bacteria
Description: bacterial SSU rRNA
Rfam family: Bacterial small subunit ribosomal RNA
Source: RNAcentral